This 468-nucleotide ribosomal RNA is filed under the name uncultured bacterium. RNAcentral describes it as "partial 16S ribosomal RNA". It matches the Rfam family "Bacterial small subunit ribosomal RNA", at positions 28 to 507 of the family's 1533-position model. The record is from RNAcentral.
GACGAACGCUGGCGGCGUGCUUAACACAUGCAAGUCGAACGGAAAGGCCCUGCUUUUGUGGGGUGCUCGAGUGGCGAACGGGUGAGUAACACGUGAGUAAUCUGCCCUUGACUUUGGGGUAACUUCAGGAAACUGGGGCUAAUACCGGAUAGGAGCUCCUGCUGCAUGGUGGGGGUUGGAAAGUUUCGGCGGUUGGGGAUGGACUCGCGGCUUAUCAGCUUGUUGGUGGGGUAGUGGCUUACCAAGGCUUUGACGGGUAGCCGGCCUGAGAGGGUGACCGGCCACAUUGGGACUGAGAUACGGCCCAGACUCCUACGGGAGGCAGCAGUGGGGAAUAUUGCACAAUGGGCGGAAGCCUGAUGCAGCAACGCCGCGUGCGGGAUGACGGCCUUCGGGUUGUAAACCGCUUUCGCCUGUGACGAAGCGUGAGUGACGGUAAUGGGUAAAGAAGCACCGGCUAACUACGUG